GAUAUCCCGCGUGGAAAGCGUACUGACAGGUUUAGCUGUUUUCUUCAAUGAUGGCAAGAAGAAUGUGUCUAACGGCUACAGUGGGGUCGUAUACUGUAAGUGAAGAUCCAAAAGCAGAGCAGAAGACCCAAAAGUCAGUAGAGGCAGUUAUAUCCUAGUUCAACAGGUCACGGGGAACCUGGACCCUAUCCCAGGGAGCAUCGGGCACAAGGCGGGGUACACCCUGGACAGGGUGCCAGUCCAUCACAGGGCACUAUCACAUACACAUUCACACACCCAUUCAUACACUACGGACACUUUAGACACGCCAAUCAGCCUACCAUGCAUGUCUUUGGACUGGGGGAGGAAACCGGAGUACCCGGAGGAAACUCCGCACACACAGGAGUGUGAAAACUGAAAGCUUCACACACAAUUGAACCCCCAACCCUGGAGGUGUGAGGCGAAGUGCUAACCACUAAGCCACCGUGCGCCCCCAUAUUGAAUUCAUACAAUGCCAAACUGAUAUUUAGUGUAUCAGUAUAUACAGUAUAUCCUUUGACCACUUUUGUAAAAAUGUGUCGAUAUAUAACAGUGCACAGAAUAAACAUUUAAAUACCUUUUUAAAAUUUAUUUUUAAAGUAAUUUUACAGUGUGCUGGGUUUUUACAAUCCUCCAAGGCAAAUCAAUGAAUAUUAUCCAUGCAUGUUUCACAAAAUGAGUUUUUAUCACAAAAAUAACAGACAACCCAAAAGCAAAUCUGAUCCUGAAUAAACCUUUAUGUAACCAAAAUGAGGAAAUGGAGAAAACAACAAUUUGAGAUCUGUCUAGGAGGAACCAUUAACAGAUGGGCUAAAAACAGGAUGCCCUGUAGUGCUUUGGCGAGGAUCUUGUCCAGCCCUAACAUGGUACAGAGCAUUGUGGUACCAACCAAUCGCAGAGAUUCAGUAUUGUGUCAGGUUAUGAAAGUAAAGCCACUGGUUUAAUUAUGGCAGGUGUUUCUGAGCAGUCUUAGUCAAAUCCAUGUUUUUUUUUCUAUACCACUCUGGAAACAGUGAUGCAGUUACCAGGAGAUAACUUAUUUAAUCACCAUGAGAGAUAUGCCUUUUUCUUUUGCGUGCAGUAGCUUUUUACAAAAUGUACCACAAAUGAGGCAUCAGAAAGCUAAUAAAGUGUGCACUACCUUUAUAUGUUGAACUUUAUUACUUCUGGAGCAAUAACUGUUAUUGUGUUUUCUGUGCUGAGAAAUAAAAUCUUGCAUGGCUAACAGUGUUCUAGAACAUUCCUGAACACUAAAACAAAAAGCAAAACGGGGAGCCCAAGUUUUUUUUUUUUUUUUUUUUUUACAGUAAAUAUCUUUUUGUAAAAAUAAAAUACAGACUUUUUCCAUUUAAAUCAAAAACAAUUUAUUUGCAAAUUCAGAAAUAACCUAUAAAAAAAACCCUAAAUAUAAUAUUAUGGGCUUGCUUCAUCUUUUGCAAGCUUUAUUUAUUUUUUUGGUAUUUCAAACAAAAGCAUAAAAUAAAAUCCACUCACUCCUGAAAUAAUGUAGUACAGUAUGUUUAGACACUGACCAGUCCUGCAGAAUGCUGGUCACAUCGUCUCACUAACAAUAAACCCUCCAACAUCAAUAAAAUUCCUUCAACAAAGUUAAAGGUAUGUACGGCUGCUCCCUCACUGUAUAAUCACUGGACAAGUGGCAAGUUUCCUGGAGGUUAAGUCACAACUAGGCAAAUCAAACUGAAAGCUAAUCUUUUAUUAAAUGAAACUGCCUAAGUGUAGCACUUUUCUGUUUCACUUUACCUUUAGUUUAAGUGG
This is a long non-coding RNA of Ictalurus punctatus (channel catfish), 1794 nucleotides long. RefSeq lists it as uncharacterized. The transcript is spliced from 3 exons. The record is from RefSeq and is a predicted model, not a curated record. Lineage: Eukaryota; Metazoa; Chordata; Actinopteri; Siluriformes; Ictaluridae.